This 84-nucleotide transfer RNA is filed under the name Candidatus Brocadiales bacterium. RNAcentral describes it as "tRNA-Leu". It matches the Rfam family "tRNA". From Rfam's summary of the family: Transfer RNA (tRNA) molecules are approximately 80 nucleotides in length. Their secondary structure includes four short double-helical elements and three loops (D, anti-codon, and T loops). Lineage: Bacteria; Pseudomonadati; Planctomycetota; Candidatus Brocadiia; Candidatus Brocadiales. The record is from RNAcentral.
GCUCCGGUGGUGGAACUGGUAGACACAAGGGACUUAAAAUCCCUCGGCAGCAAUGUCAUGAGGGUUCGACCCCCUCCUGGAGCA